AUACAGAGGGUGCGAGCGUUAAUCGGAUUUACUGGGCGUAAAGCGUGCGUAGGCGGCUUUUUAAGUCGGAUGUGAAAUCCCUGAGCUUAACAUAGGAAUUGCAUUCGAUACUGGGAAGCUAGAGUAUGGGAGAGGAUGGUAGAAUUCCAGGUGUAGCGGUGAAAUGCGUAGAGAUCUGGAGGAAUACCGAUGGCGAAGGCAGCCAUCUGGCCUAAUACUGACGCUGAGGUACGAAAGCAUGGGGGGCAAACAGGAUUAGAUACCCUGGUAGUCCAUGCCGUAAACGAUGUCUACUGGCCGUUGGGGCCUUUGAGGCUUUAGUGGCGUAGCUAACGCGAUAAGUAGACCGCCUGGGGAGUACGGUCGCAAGACUAAA
RNAcentral lists this ribosomal RNA (376 nucleotides) under uncultured bacterium. RNAcentral's name for it is "bacterial SSU rRNA". It matches the Rfam family "Bacterial small subunit ribosomal RNA", at positions 523 to 898 of the family's 1533-position model. The record is from RNAcentral.